Long non-coding RNA from Anthonomus grandis grandis, 1320 nucleotides. RefSeq lists it as uncharacterized. The transcript is spliced from 2 exons. NCBI's taxonomy places the organism in Eukaryota, Metazoa, Arthropoda, Insecta, Coleoptera, Curculionidae. The record is from RefSeq and is a predicted model, not a curated record.
AUGACGUUUCUUCUGUGUGGCUAUUCUUAGUAGUUUACAUUCUUAGUUUGUCGUUGACUGUUAGUCGUCGUAACGUAAUUUUUUAUUUUGGUACGUAAAUAUCGUCGAAAAAUGUCCGAUAGUUCAAGUAGUGAAAUAGAAGAUCGACCAGAACCUCUGAAAAAGAGGCAACGGCGACCAGAAUCAUACAAAAGGAAUAUUAUCAAGAAAUCAAAAGUUAAGGGGUUUGAACAUAUCAACUGGAAAGAAAAAGUUUUGCCGCCACGUGCUACCGGACCCCGUUGCACAUGUAAAAUGGCAUACUUUGAAAAUCUUACUCAAGAUGAUUUGGCAUUUUGUAUUAGUAAAAUCAAUUCUUUUCAAACUAAGAAUGAACAGGAUAUUUUCAUGCAACAGCUUAUUGAAAAAAAAGCAGUGAAGACCCACCGACCACGUAAAGAAGGAGCUAUACCUAGAGAUUAUGCUUUCAAAUAUUUCAUCGUUACAAAAUUGAAAAAUAAAGUCGUAUGCAAGAAGGCGUUUAUCUCCAUUUUUGGCAUAACAGAAAACCGAGUAAGACGCCUAUGCGACCUACUUGUUAGAUCGGAAACUCCUCAUGACAAACGAGGCCAACAUCCCAAGGCCAAUACUACACGGCCUGAAAUUUUAAAAGAAAUACACGAUCAUAUUAUGGAUUUCCCUCGAAAUAGAACUCAUUACUCAGGCAAAGAUAUUGAAUAUUUAGAUGCAAGAUUGGAGGUUAAAACCAUGCAUGAUUUACUCAGAAGAAAACAUCCGAAUUUAAAAGUUACCUAUGCGUUCUACGCCAACUAUUUCAAAAACACUUUUUCUUUACGGUUUGGAAGACCAUUUGGUCGACACAUGCAUUACUUGUGAAGAAUUAGGGGUCAAAAUCAGGAGCCCCACUUUAGGACAUAGUGCGAAAAUGGCAGCCGACGCAGAGCUCGCGGUUCAUAAAAGACGAGCGAAAAAAUGUCAUAACAAGAUUGCAUCUGUAAAAGAAAUUUGUCAGAAUCGGGACCAUCUGGCUGCUUUAACGUUUGAUUAUAUGCAAAAUUUGCCACUCCCAAAUAUACCAAUACAGGAGAUAUUUUACCUUAGACAACUAUGGGUCAACUGUUUUGGGAUCAAGAAUCUCAAAACUAAUGAAUCCGUAUUUUAGGUUUACCAUGAAGGAGUGGCAAAUAAAGGUGCCAACGAGGUUUGUUCCAUGAUCCAUCACUAUUUGGAUAAUUUUUUGGGGGAAAAUAUCCAAGAACUUCACCUUUUCUCAGACAACUGUCCAGGUCAAAAUAAGAAUAAUAAAUAAGAAUAAUACAA